UCGGUAAGGUGAUAUGAACCGUUAUAACCGGCGAUUUCCGAAUGGGGAAACCCAGUGUGAUUCGUCACACUAUCAUUAACUGAAUCCAUAGGUUAAUGAGGCGAACCGGGGGAACUGAAACAUCUAAGUACCCCGAGGAAAAGAAAUCAACCGAGAUUCCCCCAGUAGCGGCGAGCGAACGGGGAGCAGCCCAGAGCCUGAAUCAGUGUGUGUGUUAGUGGAAGCGUCUGGAAAGGCGCGCGAUACAGGGUGACAGCCCCGUACACAAAAAUGCACAUACUGUGAGCUCGAUGAGUAGGGCGGGACACGUGGUAUCCUGUCUGAAUAUGGGGGGACCAUCCUCCAAGGCUAAAUACUCCUGACUGACCGAUAGUGAACCAGUACCGUGAGGGAAAGGCGAAAAGAACCCCGGCGAGGGGAGUGAAAAAGAACCUGAAACCGUGUACGUACAAGCAGUGGGAGCCUCUUUUAUGGGGUGACUGCGUACCUUUUGUAUAAUGGGUCAGCGACUUAUAUUCUGUAGCAAGGUUAACCGAAUAGGGGAGCCGAAGGGAAACCGAGUCUUAACCGGGCGUUAAGUUGCAGGGUAUAGACCCGAAACCCGGUGAUCUAGCCAUGGGCAGGUUGAAGGUUGGGUAACACUAACUGGAGGACCGAACCGACUAAUGUUGAAAAAUUAGCGGAUGACUUGUGGCUGGGGGUGAAAGGCCAAUCAAACCGGGAGAUAGCUGGUUCUCCCCGAAAGCUAUUUAGGUAGCGCCUCGUGAAUUCAUCUCCGGGGGUAGAGCACUGUUUCGGCAAGGGGGUCAUCCCGACUUACCAACCCGAUGCAAACUGCGAAUACCGGAGAAUGUUAUCACGGGAGACACACGGCGGGUGCUAACGUCCGUCGUGAAGAGGGAAACAACCCAGACCGCCAGCUAAGGUCCCAAAGUCAUGGUUAAGUGGGAAACGAUGUGGGAAGGCCCAGACAGCCAGGAUGUUGGCUUAGAAGCAGCCAUCAUUUAAAGAAAGCGUAAUAGCUCACUGGUCGAGUCGGCCUGCGCGGAAGAUGUAACGGGGCUAAACCAUGCACCGAAGCUGCGGCAGCGACACUGUGUGUUGUUGGGUAGGGGAGCGU
Molecule: ribosomal RNA, 1120 nt
Filed under: Escherichia coli
Lineage: Bacteria; Pseudomonadati; Pseudomonadota; Gammaproteobacteria; Enterobacterales; Enterobacteriaceae
Description: partial 23S ribosomal RNA
Rfam family: Bacterial large subunit ribosomal RNA
Source: RNAcentral